RNAcentral lists this ribosomal RNA (700 nucleotides) under uncultured bacterium. RNAcentral describes it as "bacterial SSU rRNA". It matches the Rfam family "Bacterial small subunit ribosomal RNA", at positions 8 to 724 of the family's 1533-position model. The record is from RNAcentral.
AGAGUUUGAUCAUGGCUCAGGACGAACGCUGGCGGCGUGCUUAACACAUGCAAGUCGAGCGGAAAGGCCCUUCGGGGUACUCGAGCGGCGAACGGGUGAGUAACACGUGAGUAACCUGCCCUUGGCUUUGGGAUAACCAUCGGAAACGGUGGCUAAUACCGGAUAUUCACUGCUGGUCGCAUGGCUGGUGGUGGAAAGUUUUUUCGGCUGAGGAUGGGCUCGCGGCCUAUCAGCUUGUUGGUGGGGUGAUGGCCUACCAAGGCUUUGACGGGUAGCCGGCCUGAGAGGGCGACCGGCCACACUGGGACUGAGACACGGCCCAGACUCCUACGGGAGGCAGCAGUGGGGAAUAUUGCACAAUGGGCGCAAGCCUGAUGCAGCGACGCCGCGUGAGGGAUGACGGCCUUCGGGUUGUAAACCUCUUUCAGCAGGGACGAAGCGUAAGUGACGGUACCUGCAGAAGAAGCGCCGGCCAACUACGUGCCAGCAGCCGCGGUAAGACGUAGGGCACGAGCGUUGUCCGGAUUUAUUGGGCGUAAAGAGCUCGUAGGCGGCUUGUUGCGUCGUCCGUGAAAACCUGGGGCUCAACUCCAGGCUUGCGGUCGAUACGGGCAGGCUAGAGUUCGGUAGGGGAGACUGGAAUUCCUGGUGUAGCGGUGAAAUGCGCAGAUAUCAGGAGGAACACCGGUGGCGAAGGCGG